Brachypodium distachyon (stiff brome) is the source of this 1678-nucleotide RNA transcript. It is a transcript of the gene named thaumatin-like protein 1, with no coding region annotated. The transcript is spliced from 4 exons. Lineage: Eukaryota; Viridiplantae; Streptophyta; Magnoliopsida; Poales; Poaceae. The record is from RefSeq and is a predicted model, not a curated record.
UAAUUUUAGACCCACUCCCUGCAAUAAGCACAGUCCUCAGAGCCACCCCAAAGAUUCUCCUCUCCUUUCUCUAGUGUUUGCCCUAGUUGCCCUAUCGCCAUUUCCAUCUCGUAUCCUCUGUCUUCUCCAGCUGAACUGUCACGCUAGCACACCACAGCAUCCGUGCAGGGGGGAAGCGAGAGUGAGCAAUAACUGCGGUCCUUUCGCCUGACAUUGUACAACAUUUGCACGCUUCUUCCUCAGCACACCACUGCAUAGCAUUUCCUCGCCAAUGGAGUUGCCGAGAUGUAUCACCGUUCUCUUGCUCUUGUUGAUUUUGUGGAGAGAGGGGGAAGCGGCGACGUUCACGUUCGUGAACCGGUGCGGCGACACGGUGUGGCCGGGCAUCCUGUCCAACGCCGGCACCGCGCGCCUGGGCACCACGGGGUUCGAGCUCCCCACUGGCGCGUCGCGCGCCGUGCCCGCGCCCUCCGGCUGGUCCGGCCGCCUCUGGGCGCGCACCGGCUGCUCGGCCCAGAGCGGCUCCGGUCGUCUCGUCUGCGCCACGGGCGACUGCGGCUCCGGAGCCGCCGAGUGCGCCGGCGCCGGCGCGGCCCCGCCGGCCACGCUGGCCGAGUUCACGCUGGACGGCACCGGCUCCGGCCUGGACUUCUACGACGUGAGCCUCGUGGACGGCUACAACCUGCCGGUGCUCGUGGAGCCGUCGUCCUCGGGCGAGCAGCGCGGCGCCAGCGGCGGGACGGCGAGCGCCCCCGGGUCGUGCGCGGUGGCCGGGUGCGCGGCGGACCUGAACGCGAUGUGCCCCGGGGAGCUCCGGUCGAGCGGCGGCGGGUCCUGCCGGAGCGCGUGCGAGGCGUUCGGCAGGCCCGAGUACUGCUGCAGCGGGGCGUUCGCGAGCCCGAGCGCGUGCCGGCCCACGGCCUACUCGCAGGUGUUCAAGAUGGCGUGCCCGAGGUCCUACAGCUACGCAUUCGACGACCCAACGUCCACCUUCACCUGCGCCGGCGGCCCCGACUACACCGUCACCUUCUGCCCCGGCGCGUCCCCGAGCCAGAAGUCGACCACGCUGCCGGGCACGACGCCGACGGCGGUACCGGCGUCGACGACGCCGGUCGCGACGCUGACCCCGACAACGACGAUGCCGGGGACGACGACUCCGACAAUGAUGCCUGGGACGACGAUGCCGGGGACGACGUUCACUGACGCCAUCCCGGACAGCACGCCGAUGCCGAUGAGCGGCGAGGUCGGCGGUCAGGGCGUGUUCCUCAGUGAAGGCGGCGGCGGGAGCAGCGACUCCUGGCUCGCCAACAUGGCCACCGGCGACGUCACCGCCGCAGGGGACUCGCUCGCGGCAGCCUCGUUGUAUCUGGUGGCGGCGCCAUUGGCGUUGCUUCUGCUGACACGAUAGCUGGUGGUGGCCGCUCGCCAUUGUGCGACGUGAUGGUAACCGGCAGACUGGCAGAGCAGGAUCGGGUGAGUGGGGUGGCCGAAUUACACAGCAACAUUUUGAAGCAAGAGCUAUUUGCAGACUAUCUUUCUAUUUGAGGAAGAUGAACAAUGAUGAUUGAUCAAACUGGCUAGCUGCCAUGAUUUUUUUUGUCUCCUUGUAAUAUAUAAUCAAAUAACUAAUUGAUGUAGUAUUAUGUUCUGAAGAUUAAUGGCCAUUUUUCUUUGAUUC